CUGUGAGGGGAAUGAUGUAUUACUAUCGAGCUCUUAAGAUGCUGGCAUUUCUAGACUCUGCUUCAGAGAUGGACAUUCGUG
Non-coding RNA from Morus notabilis, 81 nucleotides. The record is from Rfam. Lineage: Eukaryota; Viridiplantae; Streptophyta; Magnoliopsida; Rosales; Moraceae.